AUACGGAGGGUGCAAGCGUUAAUCGGAAUUACAGGGCGUAAAGCGCGCGUAGGCGGUCAGGUCAGUCGGAUGUGAAAGCCCCGGGCUCAACCUGGGAACUGCAUUCGAUACUGCCUGACUAGAGUAUGGUAGAGGGAAGUGGAAUUUCCGGUGUAGCGGUGAAAUGCGUAGAUAUCGCAAGGAACACCAGUGGCGAAGGCGGCUUCCUGGACCAAUACUGACGCUGAGGUGCGAAAGCGUGGGGAGCAAACAGGAUUAGAUACCCCAGUAGUCC
Molecule: ribosomal RNA, 274 nt
Filed under: uncultured bacterium
Lineage: Bacteria
Description: partial 16S ribosomal RNA
Rfam family: Bacterial small subunit ribosomal RNA
Source: RNAcentral